RNAcentral lists this ribosomal RNA (253 nucleotides) under uncultured bacterium. Its description in RNAcentral is "partial 16S ribosomal RNA". It matches the Rfam family "Bacterial small subunit ribosomal RNA", at positions 524 to 776 of the family's 1533-position model. The record is from RNAcentral.
UACGUAGGGUGCAAGCGUUGUCCGGAAUUAUUGGGCGUAAAGAGCUCGUAGGCGGUUUGUUGCGUCGGCCGUGAAAACUUGGGGCUUAACCCCGAGCCUGCGGUCGAUACGGGCAGACUUGAGUUCGGCAGGGGAGACUGGAAUUCCUGGUGUAGCGGUGAAAUGCGCAGAUAUCAGGAGGAACACCGGUGGCGAAGGCGGGUCUCUGGGCCGAUACUGACGCUGAGGAGCGAAAGCGUGGGGAGCGAACAGG